This 72-nucleotide transfer RNA is filed under the name Candidatus Ryanbacteria bacterium RIFCSPHIGHO2_12_FULL_47_12b. Its description in RNAcentral is "tRNA-Val". It matches the Rfam family "tRNA". From Rfam's summary of the family: Transfer RNA (tRNA) molecules are approximately 80 nucleotides in length. Their secondary structure includes four short double-helical elements and three loops (D, anti-codon, and T loops). The record is from RNAcentral. Lineage: Bacteria; Candidatus Ryaniibacteriota. RNAcentral also lists the same sequence under 2 other names.
GGGCCGUUAGUUUAAUGGCAAAACGAUCGCUUCACACGCGAUAGAGCGUAGGUUCGAUUCCUACACGGCCCA